RNAcentral lists this ribosomal RNA (492 nucleotides) under uncultured bacterium. Its description in RNAcentral is "partial 16S ribosomal RNA". It matches the Rfam family "Bacterial small subunit ribosomal RNA", at positions 29 to 507 of the family's 1533-position model. The record is from RNAcentral.
AGUGAACGCUGGCGGUAGGCCUAACACAUGCAAGUCGAACGGCAGCACAGUAAGAGCUUGCUCUUACGGGUGGCGAGUGGCGGACAGGUGAGGAAUACAUCGGAAUCUACUUUUUCGUGGGGGAUAACGUAGGGAAACUUACGCUAAUACCGCAUACGACCUACGGGUGAAAGCAGGGGAUCUUCGGACCUUGCGCGAUUGAAUGAGCCGAUGUCGGAUUAGCUAGUUGGCGGGGUAAAGGCCCACCAAGGCGACGAUCCGUAGCCGGUCUGAGAGGAUGAUCAGCCACACUGGAACUGAGACACGGUCCAGACUCCUACGGGAGGCAGCAGUGGGGAAUAUUGGACAAUGGGCGCAAGCCUGAUCCAGCCAUACCGCGUGGGUGAAGAAGGCCUUCGGGUUGUAAAGCCCUUUUGUUGGGAAAGAAAAGCAGCAGGUUAAUACCCCGCUGUUCUGACGGUACCCAAAGAAUAAGCACCGGCUAACUUCGUG